RNAcentral lists this long non-coding RNA (3060 nucleotides) under Lactuca sativa (garden lettuce). RNAcentral's name for it is "long non-coding RNA (LSAT_LNC000038)". The record is from RNAcentral. Lineage: Eukaryota; Viridiplantae; Streptophyta; Magnoliopsida; Asterales; Asteraceae.
CUAUUUAUGUAAAAAUGAUGAAACUACCCUUGUGAUCAUUUAGAAGUAUUAUGCUGACAGCUCCCCUACCUCUUUUUAUGUAUUUCUUCAUCCGAGAUCACUGCUUCUCCUUUGCUUGGGUUAGUCCACCGCCUCAACUACCACCGACUCUUCCACUAAGACGAACCUUGAACCCACAAAAAAAUCUCACCGGUGCUCCCUCUUCUUCUUCCACCCCAUUGCCUUGCUCUCUCGCCAAAGAUCGUAUGAUCGAGUAGCAACGAAAGAUGCUACUGAAGAGCUGGUGACGUCGACGAAAAACCUUCUCCUUUUCUACAUGGAUUGAAGCUUCCAUCUUCGAUUGGAGAACAUUCGGCGCCUUCGUUUCUGUUUCAGCUUAGAAAAUCGAUUCCCCUCCUCCUCCGUUGUUUUACUAUUCCAGGUUUGGUGUUCGCCAUCUACCUUUUUUUUCCUGUUUCCGUGUACUGCCAUCUGUUGGGAAUGGAAGAAAGAAGCAUGUGUAUAUGCCUUUGACUCAACCGCCAUCUGGCAAACGGAUUUACAGACCCAAUUCUUAUCCAGGUAUUAGUCGCCCUAGAAAAGAUGUAUAUGCCUGAAUUAGCCUACUGAUUUAGAGACCAAUUCUUAUCCUCACUUUACAGUUCCAUGUUUACUUUAGCCAUAUAAGGGAUAUGCUUUUCAACCCAUGUCUUUUAAUUAUGUAUGAUUCACAAAGUGCAUAUUGUCAUUAAAGAACUUAUUGUGAUUUUGGUGUGGAUGCGAGGUGGUAAUGGAGGCGGGUGAAUGAUGGCUUGAUUGGAGAAAUAAGGGAGGUGGUUGACGGUUGUUUUAAGUGGGAAUGGUGGAGAAGUGGUGGUCAGGAGUGGGGGUGAGGAUGGAUUAACGUGUUGUUUUCAUUGAAGGAUGUUCAUCAAGGUUAUUUUAACUUUACCUUGGUAAUUCAUGAAGCUAUUCCGAUUCCCAGGUGACGAUUGUUCAUCCCUCUUUCUAUAUGCUUUCAAUUUCAUGUUUGUUUAAGUGUGUUCUUAAUUUUAAUUUAUUUGUUCGAAUAUAAGAAUGGGCAAGUAGAAUGAAGCUUAACGAUAGACUUUACUUGCUCAGGUAUUAGCCGCCAAAUAUUAGUAAUGUAACAACUCUGAAGUAAGAAUUCCUUUUCAGCAUAUCUUGGCACACAAUCAACACCUAGACAAUCAGCAGCUUCUUGAACCUUCAAUCACGUGCAUUCUCCCAUUUAGAUUAAUUAGAGAAAAAGACAAAAAUGCCCCUAAAAAAACUUGAGACUUACACGAGCGAUUGCAUUAGCAGUUUCAGUUGGUGCUAUUCUAGGGCUGCUCACUAUUGAUUUCACCUUCAAAUCAAAUUACAAAAAAAAAAAAACUGUAUAGUUCCAAGCAUGUCCAUAGGCAUGUUACUGUUAUCAGAUUCAGAAUCACUACCCUGUUAAAAAAAUCUCAAGAAAACCAAAUUAGGGAAAUUAAGAAAACAAACAAUUUUUUUUUUCACAUACUGGUUUAUUUAUUAAUAUCACCUCAGGGUUUCCAUGGCAGACAAGUACAAUCCGUUUACUAGCUUUCCUCCCUGCAGAGCUUCCAGAAGCAAUAGGGGAGCUUGGAGUUUGAUUUAAUCUGGUAAGACAUAUAUAUGGAGAUCCACCUUCAGGUUGUGGGACAAAAUCUAGCACACUUACACCACAGUUGCUUUGAAGUAAAAUACAUUGAAUCAACAUCAGGUAUGACGUUAACAGACUUCUAUUUUAAAAUGAAUCUAGAAAUCCAAAAGUUUUUUAUUUUCAUUUCAUGGAUUAUAUCUUUUCCGUCUCUAUUGCAUCUUUGAUUGAUUAAACCUAUUUCUAAUAAGGACCUUUUUUUUGCCUACUACCUGUUUGAUAAAAUGCCACAAUUAAUGAAAAAAUAAAGAUCCAAAGGUUAGCAGGUGGAGGAUAAAAUUAUGCAGCAUUUGUACGAGAUAUUGGUGUUCUAUCAGCAGAUACAUAUCUUUUGGAGGAGGUAAAUUAAAUUAUAUAUUUUUUUGGUCAACAUGUGGUCAAAGGAAACAUUUUCAGUUUGAUGAAAAGUGAAAACUACUUGAAUGGUUGUCGUAUGAUUUUUUUAAUAGUAUUUAUGAAUGUUGAGGAGGGUUUUAACAAAUUGUUGAUGUUUAAUUAAUUAUUUCUCGAAUUAAUUGACUGUUGCAUUGAUUUCCUAUCUUCAUCUUAAAACAGUUUUAUGUUAUAACUUCCAUACAAAUUAUGUAUGAUAUGUUUUGUUGAUAAUAUUGUUCUUUGUUUACUAUAUUACAGAAAGAAGUUGUUCAACUUACUUGCGAGUGUGAAAGACAUUUUGGGACACAAUCUGGUGGAAUGGAUCAGGUAUAUACAUAUAAUAUUUCUCAUAAACCAAUGAACUUUUCGAGUAAUUACAUUUUGUGCUUAAAUGCAAAAAAUUAACAUCAUACUUUCCUUUAUAAUAAAUGAAAGUGGAAUGGUAUAAUGAACGCAUAGGAAGUAACUUGAAAGUACAAUGUUAUAAUUUGUAUUUUUUUAUUGAACUAGGCAAUAUCCAUAAUGGAAAAACGGGAUUUGCUGACCUAGUAGAUUUCAACCCUCUUCGUGCAACUGAUGUGCAACUGCCAGCUGACGGAACUUUUCUAAUUGCUCAUUCAUUGGCUGAAUCACAGAAAGUUGUAACUGCUGCAACAAACUACAAUAAUCGUGUUGUUGAAUGUUGUUUAGCUUCUGUAAGAUUAAAGAAAAGUCUUUUUUUCAUUAUUUUUGUGUUGCUUCAAUGGUUUGAUUGGUUUGAUGGAAUGGAAUGACCCAUUACAUUCUGUUCAACAAAACAAAUAGUUUCUUUUCUUCAUUCCAGUAGAAUGAAUCAUUCCAUUCCUUUUCCAAUUUCAUUGUUGUAUGUCCCUAAAUCCUCCAUAACAAAUGGGGCCUAUGUGGCAAGUAGUCGACUAAUAUUCUAUAUUUACCUCUCUUACAUUCUAAUUUUUCUUUUCACUUUCCACCUAUUUUCCUAAUAAUCAUUCUAUUUUUGAAAACUCUAUAUUUAUUUAUUU